ACGCCCGUAGCUCAGUUGGUUAGAGCAUCACCUUGACAUGGUGGGGGUCAGUGGUUCGAGUCCACCCGGGCGUACCA
RNAcentral lists this transfer RNA (77 nucleotides) under Orbus sasakiae. RNAcentral describes it as "tRNA-Val". It matches the Rfam family "tRNA". Rfam says of the family: Transfer RNA (tRNA) molecules are approximately 80 nucleotides in length. Their secondary structure includes four short double-helical elements and three loops (D, anti-codon, and T loops). Further hydrogen bonds mediate the characteristic L-shaped molecular structure. tRNAs have two regions of fundamental functional importance: the anti-codon, which is responsible for specific mRNA codon recognition, and the 3' end, to which the tRNAs corresponding amino acid is attached (by aminoacyl-tRNA synthetases). tRNAs cope with the degeneracy of the genetic code in two manners: having more than one tRNA (with a specific anti-codon) for a particular amino acid; and 'wobble' base-pairing, i.e. permitting non-standard base-pairing at the 3rd anti-codon position. RNAcentral also lists the same sequence under 163 other names. Lineage: Bacteria; Pseudomonadati; Pseudomonadota; Gammaproteobacteria; Orbales; Orbaceae. The record is from RNAcentral.